Labrus bergylta (ballan wrasse) is the source of this 1206-nucleotide long non-coding RNA. RefSeq lists it as uncharacterized. NCBI's taxonomy places the organism in Eukaryota, Metazoa, Chordata, Actinopteri, Labriformes, Labridae. The record is from RefSeq and is a predicted model, not a curated record.
UGUGUAGAACAAGGAAGUGCAGCGUGAGGCGAACUGAUUACAAACAAUUGCUGGCAAUCGCGGAUUACAACAAGUAGGAGGACGACUGGACUCUGCAGUGACUCAUUGUUUUAACAUGAGAGUCCUCAUUUUGUUCUAUGAAUGAAAUCAUCUCUGUUGGGCUUUAAUAAUUAGUUUGUAUUUCAUUAUCGCGCUUAAUCAAAAACGGGAGUAAACUUGCAGAUUAUUAUUGUGCAAAAUGAAUGUAUCAAAUUAUGUGACACUGUGUAAUUAUUUUCUUAUAUAUGUUUUUUAGUAUGGCUCAUCACAACAUUAAAAGCACACUGCUGGUCCGGGUGCUAAGUUGAUGAAUUAAAGGUAUGCUAUUUUGGGUUGACACUUUUUUAAGAAAUGUAAUUAAUAUGUUUUUGAUAUUGAUUUAAAGUCUUGUUUAUUUCUCUAGGACUUGGAAUUAACUAAAAACUGUCACUGUUUUUCCCCACUUUCAUAUUUACUUAAUUGUUUAUUUUUAGAAGUAGUUUCAAAUUAGAUACUUUGACGGGCCGCGGGCAAUAGACUUUGUGGGCGAAGUGCAAUUCAUGAAUUCAUAGUAACUCUGAAAGCCUUGAUCCCUUUUGCUGUCUUUAUUAAUUUGUAGUGUUAUGCAUGAAUUAUUUGCUGCGUGAGCAGGUGAAGUUAGUGAUUUUUAGGGAGUGUUGUUAAAUGUGUAAGUUGGAUCUUGAGUGUGAUUAGGAGCAGUGAUUUUUUGAUAGUUGUGUAUAUAGAUUGUAUAUUGCAAAGGUUUAUUUUUUACAUCUGAAGUAACCACUGGAAUGUUCCGUUUUAGUUCACAAACUUCCAGGUUGACACAAAGUGAGUUGAAUUUGAAACAUACAUUUGUAGAUGUUCUGACUAAAUGUUAGUCAGUGAGUCACACAAUGUGCCUUAAUCAUUAUUGUCAAGCAGAGUGGAGGUAGAAAAAAAAAAAAAAAAAAAAGCACCAAAUCACUCAUGAAUGAUUUGACAUCGUGUCCCGGCAAAAUGGGCACCCUAAGGUUCCAUGCUAAUUUAGACUAUUGAAGAACAGGUAAGUGUUUUUAUGAUUCUACCGUUCCUCUUAUGUCUUGAAUCUGAAUGUCAUCUUCAAAUGUCUGCAAAUGAACUUUGUUUUGCUCACGUAUAUUUGCGUGUACAUUUUCAAUAAAGAUGUUUUUGAUAACUAAAGGA